GAUGAACGCUGGCGGCGUGCCUAAUACAUGCAGGUCGAGCAAACAGACGAGGAGCUUGCUCCUCUGACGUUAGCGGCGGACGGGUGAGUAACACGUGGAUAACCUACCUAUAAGACUGGGAUAACUUCGGGAAACCGGAGCUAAUACCGGAUAAUAUAUUGAACCGCAUGGUUCAAUAGUGAAAGACGGUUUUGCUGUCACUUAUAGAUGGAUCCGCGCCGCAUUAGCUAGUUGGUAAGGUAACGGCUUACCAAGGCAACGAUGCGUAGCCGACCUGAGAGGGUGAUCGGCCACACUGGAACUGAGACACGGUCCAGACUCCUACGGGAGGCAGCAGUAGGGAAUCUUCCGCAAUGGGCGAAAGCUUGACGGAGCAACGCCGCGUGAGUGAUGAAGGUCUUCGGAUCGUAAAACUCUGUUAUUAGGGAAGAACAAAUGUGUAAGUAACUAUGCACGUCUUGACGGUACCUAAUCAGAAAGCCACGGCUAACUACGUG
This 497-nucleotide ribosomal RNA is filed under the name uncultured bacterium. RNAcentral's name for it is "partial 16S ribosomal RNA". It matches the Rfam family "Bacterial small subunit ribosomal RNA", at positions 28 to 507 of the family's 1533-position model. The record is from RNAcentral.